UCCCUGGAGGACUAGUGGUUAGGCCACAGCUCUCUCACUGCUGCUACUCGGGUUCGAUUCCCAGCCAGAGAA
RNAcentral lists this transfer RNA (72 nucleotides) under Pangasianodon hypophthalmus (striped catfish). It matches the Rfam family "tRNA". Rfam says of the family: Transfer RNA (tRNA) molecules are approximately 80 nucleotides in length. Their secondary structure includes four short double-helical elements and three loops (D, anti-codon, and T loops). The record is from Rfam by way of RNAcentral. Lineage: Eukaryota; Metazoa; Chordata; Actinopteri; Siluriformes; Pangasiidae.